GACGAACGCUGGCGGCGUGCCUAAUACAUGCAAGUAGGACGCAGUUGCGAACGGGUGAGUAACGCGUAGGUAACUACCUAUUAGAGGGGGAUAACUAUUGGAAACGAUAGCUAAUACCGCAUACUAGUAGAUGGACCUUCGUUGUAUUAGCUAGUAGGUAGGGGAAUGGCCUACCUAGUCAACGAUACAUCGCCGAGCUGAGAGGGGGAUCGGCCAAACUGGGAAGGAGAAAAGGCCCAGAAUCCGACGGGAGGCAGCAGGAGGGAAGCUUCGGCAAGGGGGGGAACACUGACCGAGCAAAGACGCGUGAGUGAAGAAGGUGUUCGGAUCGUAAAGCUCUGUUGUGAAGGAAGCGGUACUUAACCAGAAAGGGACGGCUAACUACGUGCCAGCAGCCGCGGUAAUAC
RNAcentral lists this ribosomal RNA (407 nucleotides) under uncultured bacterium. Its description in RNAcentral is "partial 16S ribosomal RNA". It matches the Rfam family "Bacterial small subunit ribosomal RNA", at positions 28 to 526 of the family's 1533-position model. The record is from RNAcentral.